This 746-nucleotide ribosomal RNA is filed under the name uncultured cyanobacterium. Its description in RNAcentral is "bacterial SSU rRNA". It matches the Rfam family "Bacterial small subunit ribosomal RNA", at positions 8 to 796 of the family's 1533-position model. Lineage: Bacteria; Bacillati; Cyanobacteriota. The record is from RNAcentral.
AGAGUUUGAUCAUGGCUCAGGAUGAACGCUGGCGGUAUGCUUAACACAUGCAAGUCGAACGGAACUCUUCGGAGUUCAGUGGCGGACGGGUGAGUAACGCGUGAGAAUCUGGCUUCAGGUUCGGGACAACCAUUGGAAACGAUGGCUAAUACCGGAUGUGCCGCAAGGUGAAAGAUUAAUUGCCUGAAGAUGAGCUCGCGUCUGAUUAGCUAGUUGGUGGGGUAAGAGCCUACCAAGGCGACGAUCAGUAACUGGUCUGAGAGGAUGACCAGUCACACUGGGACUGAGACACGGCCCAGACUCCUACGGGAGGCAGCAGUGGGGAAUUUUCCGCAAUGGGCGAAAGCCUGACGGAGCAAUACCGCGUGAGGGAGGAAGGCUCUAGGGUUGUAAACCUCUUUUCUCAGGGAAGAACAAAAUGACGGUACCUGAGGAAUAAGCAUCGGCUAACUCCGUGCCAGCAGCCGCGGUAAUACGGAGGAUGCAAGCGUUAUCCGGAUUUAUUGGGCGUAAAGCGUCCGCAGGUGGCAGUUCAAGUCUGCUGUCAAAGGUCGGGGCUCAACCCCGAACAGGCAGUGGAAACUGAACAGCUAGAGUACGGUAGGGGCAGAGGGAAUUCCCAGUGUAGCGGUGAAAUGCGUAGAGAUUGGGAAGAACACCGGUGGCGAAAGCGCUCUGCUAGGCCGAAACUGACACUCAUGGACGAAAGCUAGGGGAGCGAAUGGGAUUAGAUACCCCCGUAGUCC